CUGUGCUUCACCUUUUUAUAUAGGUUGUACAGGAAAAUGAAAAUGUCGUCUUCUGCUUGGAGUGUGCCCUGCGGCAUGUGGAAAAACAGAAGUCUUGUCGGGGACUAAAAAUGAUGUACCGGUAUGAUGAGGAACAAAUAAUCAGUCUGGUCAAUCAAAUCUGUGGAAAAGUAUCUGGUAAAAACGGCAGCAUUGAGAACUGUAUCAGCAAGCCUACACCAAAAAGAGGACCUCGUAAGAGAGCAACAGUCGAUGUGCCAUCAUCUAGGCUUUCAUCCUCCAGCUCAUCCAAAAGUGCUUCAAGUUAAUCCUGAAGAUGCCAACACUCUCAUUUUGUCAAUUUAUAUAUAUUUUUUGUAAUUAUUAUACCAUAGUUUGGAGUACUUGCUGUAGAAUACAAGCUGUCUUUGCACUAGCUCUAAAGAAGAUUUUCUUCUGGUUUUAGAGAACUAAUUUUGUUUUAGCAUUAAACUGUUGAAUUUUUUUUUUUUUGUACUUAGACUAGAUAGAUACAGCAGUCUGAUUUUUCUAAACUGCCGUACGUUCACUGUUUUAAAACCGGCAAGGGGCUGAUAAAAUAUUAAUUUGUAUUGUCCCUAUGGCUGAGAAGAAUAAAAAAGCCUUUUUGGUAACUGUGAAGAAAGGCUUUUAACCCAUUUUUGGAAUAGGUUAAAGUUUGAUGUGUUUUAUAAUUUGUUCUCCAGUCAUGUGAGCAGAUUUUUCUAGAGAGAAAAGGGAUAGGAGACAAAAACUUGAAAGAAAUUGCUUUACUUUGGCUGUCUUUUAUUCUGUCACAGCAAGAUGAGUUUUGUAAUUUUUUAAAUUGGAGAAUACACACUUUCUUUGGGAGGUUACGGCAGCUGAAGACGGACUUUGUUUCCUAACUGUAGGCAAAAGGAGGAGAUUUGGAGUAUGUUCUCUUUUACCAGCACAUCACUAUGCAUCUGUUUUGAGGGGGAAAAAUAAAACUUAAAAAUAAAAAAAAAAAAUAAAAAAAAGGAGGAAAAAAGACUGCCUGCCUUGAGGAGUCACGUGAGGGAAAACUGUGCCUGAUUUCAUUAGGAAAUCCAUUCUGUUAUUUUUUGGUGCUGUUGGCUACUUUAUCAAAAACCCUUCAAUAGCAUCCUUUAAAAAAAA
This is a long non-coding RNA of Apaloderma vittatum (bar-tailed trogon), 1137 nucleotides long. RefSeq lists it as uncharacterized. The transcript is spliced from 2 exons. Lineage: Eukaryota; Metazoa; Chordata; Aves; Trogoniformes; Trogonidae. The record is from RefSeq and is a predicted model, not a curated record.